This 336-nucleotide ribosomal RNA is filed under the name Triticum aestivum (bread wheat). Its description in RNAcentral is "partial small subunit ribosomal RNA". The record is from RNAcentral. Lineage: Eukaryota; Viridiplantae; Streptophyta; Magnoliopsida; Poales; Poaceae.
AUGCCUUUGCCGUCUGCCAUGGCAGACGGCAAAGAAGCUGAUUCCAGUAGUGACGGGUCUGUAUUGAUGGGGAAUGGUCUGAGUGCUUCUGUUCAUGGUGUUAGCACGGUCGAUCUGAACUUUACUUCGGGAAGGAUCAUGCAUCUGAAGAACAUGCAACAUGUUCCCGCGAUUAAGAAGAACCUCGUUAGUGGCUCCCUUCUAUGUAGAGAAGGAUUUAAGUUGGUCGUCGAGUCUAAUAAAUUAGUUGUUACGAAAUAUGAACUCUUUGUUGGAAAAGGUUAUGAGUGCAGAUUCUUGUACAAAAGUCGUGAACAAUAUUCAUUCGAGUGUUAA